UACAGGAACAGUCUCCACGGUGUGUUU
This 27-nucleotide non-coding RNA is filed under the name Bombyx mori (domestic silkworm). The record is from RNAcentral. Lineage: Eukaryota; Metazoa; Arthropoda; Insecta; Lepidoptera; Bombycidae.